This 494-nucleotide ribosomal RNA is filed under the name uncultured bacterium. RNAcentral describes it as "bacterial SSU rRNA". It matches the Rfam family "Bacterial small subunit ribosomal RNA", at positions 24 to 518 of the family's 1533-position model. The record is from RNAcentral.
UCAGGAUGAACGCUGGCGGCGUGCUUAACACAUGCAAGUCGAACGGAGUUUUUAACGGAAGUUUCGGAUGGAAGUUUAGAAACUUAGUGGCGGACGGGUGAGUAACGCGUGGGUAACCUGCCUCAUACAGGGGGAUAACAGUUAGAAAUGACUGCUAACACCGCAUAAUAUAGCGAAACCGCAUGAUUUUUGCUAUCAAAAUAUUUAUAGGUAUGAGAUGGGCCCGCGUCUGAUUAGCUAGUUGGUGGGGUAAAAGCCUACCAAGGCGACGAUCAGUAGCCGGCUUGAGAGAGUGACCGGCCACAUUGGGACUGAGACACGGCCCAAACUCCUACGGGAGGCAGCAGUGGGGAAUAUUGGACAAUGGGGGAAACCCUGAUCCAGCCGACGCCGCGUGAGUGAAGAAGUAUUUCGGUACGUAAAGCUCUAUCAGCAGGGAAGAUAAUGACAGUACCUGACUAAGAAGCCCCGGCUAACUACGUGCCAGCAGCCGC